This 21-nucleotide non-coding RNA is filed under the name Arabidopsis thaliana (thale cress). The record is from RNAcentral. Lineage: Eukaryota; Viridiplantae; Streptophyta; Magnoliopsida; Brassicales; Brassicaceae.
GACAAGUGACGACGGGUGUCA